This 430-nucleotide ribosomal RNA is filed under the name uncultured Desulfobulbaceae bacterium. Its description in RNAcentral is "bacterial SSU rRNA". It matches the Rfam family "Bacterial small subunit ribosomal RNA", at positions 355 to 776 of the family's 1533-position model. The record is from RNAcentral. Lineage: Bacteria; Pseudomonadati; Thermodesulfobacteriota; Desulfobulbia; Desulfobulbales; Desulfobulbaceae.
UGAGGAAUAUUGCGCAAUGGGGGCAACCCUGACGCAGCGACGCCGCGUGGAUGAUGAAGGCCUUCGGGUCGUAAAAUCCUGUCAGGUGGAAAGAAGUGUCUAUGUGCUAAUACCAUGUAGAUUUGACGGUACCACCGAAGGAAGCACCGGCUAACUCCGUGCCAGCAGCCGCGGUAAUACGGAGGGUGCAAGCGUUGUUCGGAAUUACUGGGCGUAAAGCGCGCGUAGGCGGUUUGUUAAGUCAGCUGUGAAAGCCCUCGGCUUAACCGGGGACGUGCACUUGAUACUGGCGAACUAGAGUACUGGAGGGGGUGGUGGAAUUCCCGGUGUAGAGGUGAAAUUCGUAGAUAUCGGGAGGAAUACCGGUGGCGAAGGCGACCACCUGGCCAGAUACUGACGCUAAGGCGCGAAAGCGUGGGGAGCAAACAGG